RNAcentral lists this unclassified non-coding RNA (336 nucleotides) under soil metagenome. RNAcentral's name for it is "partial contains 5.8S ribosomal RNA, internal transcribed spacer 2, and large subunit ribosomal RNA". The stretch from base 1 to 120 matches the Rfam family "5.8S ribosomal RNA", at positions 35 to 154 of the family's 154-position model. The record is from RNAcentral.
GAUGAAGAACGUAGUGAAAUGCGAUAAGUAAUGUGAAUUGCAGAAUUCAGUGAAUCAUCGAAUCUUUGAACACACAUUGCGCCCGCCAGUAUUCUGGCGGGCAUGCCUGUUCGAGCGUCAUUUCAACCAUCAAGCCCCAGGCUUGUGUUGGGGACCUGCGGCUGCCGCAGGCCCUGAAAACCAGUGGCGGGCUCGCUGUCACACCGGGCGUAGUAGAUUUUAUCUCGCUCAGGGCGUGCUGCGGGUUCCGGCCGUUAAAAAGCCUUUUUUACCCAAGGUUGACCUCGGAUCAGGUAGGAAGACCCGCUGAACUUAAGCAUAUCAAUAAGCGGAGGA